GACGAACGCUGGCGGCGUGCUUAACACAUGCAAGUCGAACGGAAAGGCCCUGCUUUUGUGGGGUGCUCGAGUGGCGAACGGGUGAGUAACACGUGAGUAACCUGCCCUUGACUUUGGGAUAACUUCAGGAAACUGGGGCUAAUACCGGAUAGGAGCUCCUGCUGCAUGGUGGGGGUUGGAAAGUUUCGGCGGUUGGGGAUGGACUCGCGGCUUAUCAGCUUGUUGGUGGGGUAGUGGCUUACCAAGGCUUUGACGGGUAGCCGGCCUGAGAGGGUGACCGGCCAAAUGGGGCCGGAGGACCGGCCCAGCCUCCUAGGGGAGGGAGGGGGGGGGAAUAUUGCACAAGGGGGGGAAGCCUGAUGCAGAAACGCCGGGGGGGGGAUGACGGCCUUGGGGUUGGAAACCGUUUUCCCCUGGGACGAAGGGGGAGGGACGGGAAUGGGAAAAGAAGCACCGGCUAACUACGU
This 467-nucleotide ribosomal RNA is filed under the name uncultured bacterium. RNAcentral's name for it is "partial 16S ribosomal RNA". It matches the Rfam family "Bacterial small subunit ribosomal RNA", at positions 28 to 506 of the family's 1533-position model. The record is from RNAcentral.